This 237-nucleotide unclassified non-coding RNA is filed under the name uncultured fungus. RNAcentral's name for it is "sequence contains ITS2". The stretch from base 1 to 52 matches the Rfam family "5.8S ribosomal RNA", at positions 103 to 154 of the family's 154-position model. Lineage: Eukaryota; Fungi. The record is from RNAcentral.
AACGCACAUUGCGCCCCUUGGUAUUCCGAGGGGCAUGCCUGUUCGAGCGUCAUUAUGACCACUCAAGCCUAGCUUGGUAUUGGGGUUCGCGGUCUCGCGGCCUCUAAAAUCAGUGGCGGUGCCGUCUGGCUCUAAGCGUAGUAAUUUUCUCGCUAUGGGGUCCGGACAGUCGCUUGCCUAAACCCCCAACUUCUCACGGUUGACCUCGGAUCAGGUAGGGAUACCCGCUGAACUUAA